This is a long non-coding RNA of Ictalurus punctatus (channel catfish), 416 nucleotides long. The record is from Ensembl. Lineage: Eukaryota; Metazoa; Chordata; Actinopteri; Siluriformes; Ictaluridae.
CUACAUUCAGGUCUACACUCCUCCUCCUUUUACCCUUCCUUUCCUGAAGGAACCUAAUCAUAGCUAAUCCCAUUAUUUUAGCUUCAGUAUGGGUAAUCCCACCAUUCCUCCAAGUACCUGUCCUCCAGCCAAGUCUACAAUCUCUGGGAUGAGCGCCUACUGCCUACUCCUGAACAGUUAAGACGUGUGUUUUGAGCUGCAGGAUGUUUAGUUGGGUGGUGAAAGUUGUUCCUCAACCCCCGGAGAAGAAUGCAAAGCUAGAAGAGGAAGGCAAAGGCGAUACACUUCAAACAUCAGAACAAAAAGCACCAGUUAAAGAGCAAGAGGUGAAAAAAGCAGCCAAUCCUGCUAAGCCAAAAGAAGAUGAAGUCUCAGAAGAAAACAGGUGUGUGUGUGUGUGUGUGUGUGUGUGUGUG